GAAGAAAGAGCAUAUUGCAUUACACAUCUCCAGAUCAUUGGUUUUCAGCCGGGGGUGAUUUUGACCCCAGGGGACAUUUGGCCAUCCCAAAAGGUCCAUAGUGCUGUGGUUGAAAAGCCCUGCUCUAGAUUGGAAAUAUAAUCAUUUGAAUCUAGAAUAUAAAUUAAAUUUAAUAAGAAAAAUGAUGGUGCCUUAAUAAUAAUUUUAUAAAUGGGAGAGAGUUUCUUAAUUUCAACAAUACGUCACUGAAUGUGGGUUGUCCCCACCUGUGAAGGACUAUGUGUAAGAUGUACUUACUCAUUGCCAAACCUCCUCAUUCUGCCCCAGCAAUUGGUUGUUAUGAUUUCAGCAAUUUGAAACCAUCCAUGUUUUUUUUUUUUAACCCCAAAGUUGAUAAGAAUGUAUAUACAUUUUCAGCACUUUAUAUAUUGGUUAUUUGCUUGGAUUAUGGAGUCUUUCCACUCACUAUUUUUGAUUUUCUGGUGAGUAGGAAAAGAAAUCUCAUGGUCAGAUGUCUUUAUAGACAGCGAUGUGCUUUUACAACUGUUGAAGUAGUCGGCUUUCCCAUCCAUUUAAAUUUAUUUCAGUAGUGCUUUUGAUGUGUUCCUUCUGCCCCUGUAUUCCCCCUUUUCUUUUGAUGCUAUUUUGAUGCAGGGGGAGAAAUUGUGACCUUGAUAUACUCUGCAAAUAUUUUUCACUUAUUUUAAAAAAUCAAACAUCUCACCAAAUUAGAUGUAAUAUAUCACUGGAAUAUUUAAAAAGUUAUAGCCUUCUCAAAUGGCAGUUUUCUGCAUAUGUCUAUGUUUAUAGAGUUAUAAUAUUGCUUUAAAAUUGUGAAUAAGCAGGACACUAGAGUGGCUAAUAGCCCGACAUGGAGAAAUAACAUUUCUGGCUGCAAUGUUGUUACAUUUCACUGUGAACGAUGUUAUCACAUAAAGGCCUCUUUAAAUAUAAAUUUUAGCAUAAAAUUAUCUAUCAAGAGAGUAAUUUUAUAAAUGUGAUACACUGUUAAGAAAGCCCUACAUAUACACAUAGGCAUGUGCUCUCUCUCUCACUCUCUCUCUCUCUAUACAGGGUACUAGAGACACAGAGAGAGGGAAUAUAAAUAUGUAUACAUUUAAUUGAAUAAGGUUUAAAUAAAAAUCAGUAUCUAUAGAUUUUUUUCCCUCCUUUUCUCUUUCCUAUUAGUCAGCUAGUGCUAGAGCAAUGCUGUGUAACAAACCAUCUCAAACUCACUAGGCUUGCAACGGCAAGCAUUUAUCUUUAAACUCACAGAUCUGCAGGUGACUCUGGUUCAGCUGAUUGACACCAGGUUUAGCUGGGAGGCUUAUCUGAUCAGCAGGUUUUGUUAGCUCUGCUCCAUAGUUAGGUGUCCCAGGGUGCAGUUUGAAGGGGCUUGCUUUUAUCUAGUGGGUCACCAGAGCACAAGAGACAAGCCAAACUUCAAAUACAUUUUAUGGCCUUUUGUCACAUUAUAUUCAUUAGAGUUCUGUUGACCAAAACAAGACACAUGGCCAAGUCCAAUGUUAAGGAACUUAAAAAAUGUAUUUUUUCCAUAGUGAUAAAGGAACGGGAUUGGAAUAGAUAUUUGCUUAAAAAUGUCCAACUGUCACAACUUCAUCUUAUUUCAGAUAGAGGUAAGCUGUCCAUUUUACCCAGAGUUAUGUUCUCUGCCUCCUCCUACCCCCAGAAUUGAGGCCAGGUUCCAGAAAAUCCAGCCCAGAUCUGUGCAGCAUCAUUCAGCUAGACAUUCUAUUGCACACAUCUAUGUUUUUCCACACUUAUAAUGAUAUGUUAAUGUAUGCACAGAUAUGGUUAAUUUGAGACAAUAAUUUAAUUAUAGACUCCAACAUUCCGCAGCAUAAACAACUCAACAGGAAAGAAAGACAUAAGAAUGGCUCAAAUUUGGUACCAGAGUGUAAUUAUGAAAUGACAUACCAAUUAGGAAUGCAAAUAACUUUUAAGAAAAACAAACAUUUUAGGUGUUUCAUGUCUUCCCCUGGAGAACAUACAUUAGCAAACCAGAGAGGAAAUAGAAUAUGCCCAGGAUUUGGGGGUCAUGGCAAGUCUCUUCCUCUAUUUUUCUCUCUUCUGCUCUGUGGAAUUAUCUCUCUCUGUGUCUCUUGCUCAAUCUCUGAUUUACCUCCUGAGCUUUACAUGGACCAGGGUCCAAUCUGCUUGAGAAUGUAUCAACUUGGCUUCUCCUUGACUUGGACUGUACAUGCAGUAUGAAAUAAUGUAACCACAAUAGAAUGUGGUAGGCAGAAUUCUACAAGUGGCUCUUAAUAACCCUUUACCCUUGUAUAAUCCCCUCCUCUUUGAGUGUGUGUAGAAUAUUUCAGUAUGUUGAAAUAUAAUUCCUGGGAUUAUAUUAUUACAUAUCAAAAUUCACCUUAAGAUCAGGAGUUUAUCUAUGUGGGUCUACCCUAAUCAUGUAAUUCCUUGAAAGUAUAGAAUUUUCUCCAAUAGGUGGCAGAAGAACAAGCCAGAGAGAUUCAAAGCAUGAAAAGAAUUCAAGAGUUCCCAUUGUGGCUCAGCAGUACUGAACCCGACUAGCAUCCAUGAGGAUGUGGGUUUGGUCCCUGGCUCAGCUGAGGGGGUUAAGGGUUCGAUGUAGCCAUGAGUUGUGGUGUAGGUCACAGACACAGCUGGGAUCUGGCAUUGCUAUGGCUGUGGUGUAGGCUGGAGCCUGUAACUCCAAUUCUACCCCUUACCUGGGAACCUCCAUGUGCUGGGGGUGCAGCCCUGAAAAG
This 2753-nucleotide long non-coding RNA is filed under the name Sus scrofa (pig). RNAcentral describes it as "lncRNA (ENSSSCG00040048792.1)". The record is from RNAcentral. Lineage: Eukaryota; Metazoa; Chordata; Mammalia; Artiodactyla; Suidae.